CUUUGUGCCAGUUAAACAGCUAUAUGCCACGUAUAGCUAAAUGGAGGAUCAUUGGUUUAGAACUGAUAGAUACCACUCACUCCCCCUCCCAUCAUGUAUCCAAAAUUCUGUAAUGAUGACACUACAUUCUGUAGGGAGGUUUAAACAAGAGCCCCCUUUCUCUGUUAACCAAUUGGUGAAUGUAUACUGUAUGUUUAAACUGUGACGUAUUUUUGCUUUAAGAAGGAGCCCCCACUCCGGGGAAUAAAGCAUUCCUGAGUUUUUCACUGAUCAGAAACUUUGUCUCCGGUGUGAAUUACUUCUAUGGAAAGCGUGCACGCAUUAAUCAAUCAAUUUGGAAGGUGUAGAUAGACAAAUUAUCAAAGUUUUCUUUGGUCCAAAUCAGUUGGCGCACUUCCGAACAGGGACGAGAGGGUUGUUGUUAUUCUGCUCGAAGCCGUAAAAUCCCAGGACCGGAGAGGAGACCCCCAGAGAUUGAAAAAAAAAAAAAAAAGAGCCUGAUCACCUCUGCAUAUGGUAAAUGAGUAACUUACCUAUAUUUUCCAUUCUUUGGAAUUGGUCUGCACUCUGGGCCUUCACUCGGCUUCCUGUGGUUAACGUCAGACAGGUAUAUAGUAUGCCCACAUGUCCCCUUUUAUAUAGAACCUGUCACUUGUCUAUCUACAGCCUGAGUCCUGAGUGUGAGUUUUAUGUGUGAAAGUGUCUGUUUGAGAAUCUGUUUUACUUUCUUGUGAUUAUUUAAUUCAGGGUGCAAAUAUACCUGGAGUUUUUAGGCCAGAUUAUAUUAAUUAAUAUUUUAAUAUUAAUUCUUGGCGCUUCCUUUGUUGUUUUUCAUUUAAAUUCAGGUGUGCAGAAUAGCCCCUGGUGGUUAGUUUUUGUCCGAUUAAGAAUAGAUCGUGGCGUUUCCUUUGUUGUUUUUCAUUUAAAUUCAGGUGUGCAGAAUAGCCCCUGGUGGUUAGUUUUUGUCCAAUUAAGAAUAGAUCGUGGCGUUUCCUUUGUUGUUUUUCAUUUAAAUUCAGGUGUGCAGAAUAGCCCCUGGUGGUUAGUUUUUGUCCGAUUAAGAAUAGAUCGUGGCGUUUCCUUUGUUGUUUUUCCUUUAAGUUCAGGCGUGCAGAAUAGCCCCUGGAGGUUUAGUUUUUUGUCCGAUUCAUAUUAAAAAUAGAUCGUGGCGAUUCUUUUGUUGUUUUAAUAAAAAACAACGAACAAAGAGUGAAGUUGUUGUAUAUGUGCUUGAGUGUUUCUGUGUGUGAUUUGAUUUAUUAUAAGCCGGCAUUUAUUUUAAGAACUUUGUGAUUUAAUUACAUCUGUAUUUUGUGCUUUUGUCUGUGUAUGUCUUGUUAGGUACCAUAUAUGUUAAUUGUAAUCUAUACAAUUUGUAUCGUUACUCUCCUAUUCUAUCUUUUGUCCUAAGGAGAGCUGUGCUUAGGCAAUCACAUGGUUAAAAAACUUUGUGCUUGCAAGUCUUCCUCCCUCCUCCCCCCUCCUUCUUUGUUGCUUUCUCUUGCUCUGACUGCUAUGAGUAUUGGCUACAGGGGGGGUGAAUGGGUGAAAUGCUUGUAAACUCAGUGAGGAAUGUGAGGGAAACAAGGUAUAUUUGCUGGACGAAUAACCUAGUUAGGAACUUUGUGUAAUCUUGUAUAUGUUGUUAAGUAAGAGGUUAUUGGCAUGUUGGAAUAAGGAAAGUUAGAUUUUGUUGGAACAAAUGAAUUGUGGAAUUCAUAAAUGAUAUUGCAGAGAAAAGUAAAUUGCAGUUUGCAUAUAAUAGCAGCUAUUCAGAUGCUGUAUUGUGGCAAUCUUUAUACACACAAUGUGAAAUUGCCAAUAGUGAAAUUGACAAGAAAUUGUUUGUUAAUAAGAAAAAACAAAAGAUCAGAAAUGUUAUGAAACUAGUCUGUACUUACAGUGCAUUGAUUUGUAAACGUAAUGCAGGUCAAGACAAUUUAGAAUCAUCAGAAAAAGAAGUAGAUUUGAAUGGGUUAACAGAAGACAAAUCAGAUUUAAAUGAACAGUGUAACAAUGUAACAGGGAGCACAUGCUGUAAACAGUCAGAAACAGUCUGUGAAUUAGAGGAUAGAGUUGAACUAAGAAAUGAUCUUAUUUGCCAGCUUAGAAAUGAAGUUAAGCAAGUGUGUGUUAAUACAAGAAAAAUACAGACACAGAAUCUAAUCCCAGAACCAAUAGAUACUGAAAAUGUAUCCUCACAGAGUGAUUUGCAGAAAAUAUAAAUUUCAAGACAGAGCUGCAAAACUUAAUUUGAAAAUACAUGAACAAUUAAUGAAAAUUGUGAAAUGUAUUCCAGUUUAUGACACGUCAGUGGAUGCAUUUACUAAUGCUGGAAUGUUUGAGUCAAAUGUGGACAAAUACAGCCUAAAUGACGAACAAAGGAAUAGAUUGUUUAAAAUAUGGCUGCCGACUCAAAUGGCAUGUAGACUGACCACGCUUGUAAAAUUUGAGGACAAUGAUAAAAUAAUAUAUGGAAAUUAGGAGACAGACAAGCAAUGCAGCGUAACACAGAAAGUUAUAAGAAUCAGAUAACUUCAAGAGAUAUGAUCAGUUUAGGGAAUGAGCAUGGAUAUGUCUGCCAACAGAUGUACACAGGCUGAUUCCAGAAUUAAGAACAGCACAAGAAUAGAGAUCUAUGUCAGUUUAUUGUUUUAAAUGAAUUGUUAGUCUGUACUGUCUUUCAUUGUUUUUAUAUGUGUUAUAAGAAAGUAUUAGGUUAAUUAAAAUAAAAAUUUAAAUCAAGUUUGCACAUAUGGCAGAAUGAGAUACACUAAUGUAGCAGUGAGGAACAUGCAAUGUUAUGUUGGGUGUAUGCAAUUAUAUAGUAACUCCAAUCAUUUUACAGAAGAAAAAACAAUAGAUUUAUUCUUUGUUGCUUCUGAGGUUGAUUUAAAAUCUUUGAUUUAAUUCAUGAGAAUGAGAUUUUAAUAUCAUGACUGAUAAUGGAUUACUGUAUAUUGCAACGCCUGGACAUACACAUGGUUUGGAUAUACUGAAGACAAAAGGAAUAAUAUAUGGGAAUGGAUAAGGCUGAUUUACCCCUAUCCACAGCUACGCCUACUCCUAAAGUAACAUCGCGUACAUCCUUACUAUGCCCUUUUACUGUAGAAUUUCCCGAAUCCUAAUGACCAAUUCCACUACAUGGUGUGACUUGUUUAAGCCUAAGAUAAAUUGGCUGAUCAGGCUACCUGUAUUAACAAUGUCAUCAACGAUGAGUUAGCAUCUGUGGAGAAGUAUCACUUCAGGUUGUCCCAAAUUUUCUUUUAACUUAAGUUUUAGUACAUAGUAAGGCCCAUGCCCAACAACUAUAUGCAGCCUUGUAUAGCAGGCCACAUGACAUCUAUUUGUACCAAGCAAGGCCUGCCUGACUCCUCAUUCCUGUCUAACAUUGUUGUCUCCUGCAUAAGUGUAGAUGGCUCUCUUUGGAGUAGCCUGUUAACUAAGCCUUGCUUUGUGGUUACUUUCACCUGUCCAAUUAAUCUGCUAGGUGCAGAUGUCCUUCCCCCACUUGCAGGCCCCUAUCACCUUAUUAUUUAUUUUGUUCCACACAGUGAAACCUGACCAAGAGGCAAGGGUCCUAGCUAGUUCCCCCAAUACCUUUACCUGAAUUAUACAGGCCCCAAAGCCUGUCCAAGCUCUUACUAUUCCCUAACAGGUUAAGGCUCUGGUGUCGAAUGGUGCCCUGGUUACCUGAGACUUUCCAUGCAAUAUCCCACCUCUCCUUGUGAUGGACGAAUUCUGUGCAGGAUAAUGUCACCCUGCAGGGAUGAUACUCUAUUUACCUGGCCACUCUUUUGCCACUUCCCAAGGGGGGAAAUGAUAAGACACUGACUAUUAUUUUUUUUUAGCAUUUUUCUUAUGAUCUGUUCCGGAUUUGCUGUCACUACAGUGGACCAGGUAUCUCACCUCAACAAUGUCUGCACAAGAAGUUGAGCUAUAGGCUCCCAUCACAGCAUGCAAGAUCUCUGAAGGAAGACUGAUCUCGGAGAAAGCAUGUGGCAACUCUCUGGCUGACUAAGUUGUUCAAUAAGUUGUAAGUGCACUAAGGAAAGUGGACAGAAAAGUGUCUACUGAAGAAACUCCCAUAUUCACCAUGUAAGAUCCUACCCACAGACCUCAAGCUACUGACCCUGGAAAGAAAGAAAAAACAAACAAACCACAAGCUGGAAACAGAAAGGGGCAACUCUUAAAGACAGGCUGUACUUCAACAAUCUCAAGUUCUACUUGCCCAAGAACAUAUACUCAGCAGUGGGCCUACGGAGCAUCUGUCCAGAACCCUCAUGAACUCUUUUGAUCAAUAAAUACUCUGAAGUAUCAGGAAUUGCCUCUCUGACCAACAGUUACUGUAAAUCUUGUGCCAUUUGUGCCAAGGGCAACUCAGGAAGAAUGGAGCCAAAGCAUCUAGCCAAACCUCAUUAUCUCUUCCAGAGGAGUCAAGUCGACUACAUCCAGAAUGCCAAAGAAUGGCUGAUUCAACUAUGCACUAAUUAUAGCAGACAUGUUUUCAGGAUGGCCAGAGGCCUAUCCAGCCAUCAAAGUGAUAACCAAGACCACAUGCUGAGUAGUGCACUGUGAAAGUUACAGAGAUCACCCCGUGGAUUCAUCAUUCCAGAAUCAAGCCUGCCUCUGCAUUAUGUGAAGUAGCAUUUGUUGAUCUUGACAACCCUUUUUGAAACUCCAUUCUUAGAGAACAAAGAUACUUGUUGAAAAUAAAUAAAUAAAUAAAUAAAUAUCAACAAGUGGGUGUUUUGAUGGCCAUAAUAAUGCCUGACCACCUGCCAUCGAUGGAAAGCCGAAUACCCCAAAAGGGGACCUCGUGAAACUAAAGAGAAACAAACAUACUCCUUACCCUGCAGCCCUCAUGUCUGAGGUGCCAUACGCACAGUCAAAGCUUCUUCAGGAUCAUCUGCUUAUCUUGAGUUUGUGGUGAUAUUAAUAUUGAAUGUUUAAAUGAUCUGAAUCUGCCAGUACUAGGGUAGCAUGAGACAAGAUUUCUAAGAAUAAGUAAAUGUGCCCUAGCCUAGGUUAUUAUGUCCAUACACAUAACACAUGACAAUCCCCAAGGUACUCUUGACACACCUCAUUCAUGCUUCAGGACAAAAAGGAGUACCCCUAUAAAGGGUGGUUUUACCCACACAUAUAUAUAUGUAUAUUAAUGCCAUAGGGGUGUCAAGGGGGGUACCAAAUGAUUUUAAGGUAAGAAACUAAGUUUGAAUCUAUUCUCCCAAGCAUUACGGCUAAUAAAAUCUGAAUUGGAAGGGAAGAGGUUUAUACAAUAAACAGGAGACCUUUUUCUUACAGGACAUGUAUGACUCAGCUGAAUGGGUAGGUGCCACGCACAUGACUGUUAAUCACCUCAAACCACACAUUAGGACUUUAAAAGACAUGGUAGUCAUCCCAUAUUUGAGGAUAAGAGGGCUGUAGAGACAGGUUUCUCUGACACUAACUUGUGACUUGAAUGGAUGAAAUACAAUGCUACUAAACAUAACAAGUCUAACUGCUAUGUCUGCAGAGGAGCGAGGCCUCACCCAGGUACAGUAUCCCUGAACCUUCCUCCGGAUAUGAAGUAUGCGUUUUAAGUCUCUACACUGUAUUUAAACCUAAGCGGUCAGCAUGCGAGUCAUGGAAACUUAAUACCCAAUCAUUACUAAAAAUAUUAUGCCCAAACGAAGGCAUUACUAUAUAUCCUGGGAACUAUACUUGUUAUGGGAUAUAUGGUGGGAUAGGGCGGUUACAAGCUACCUCUCAGAUGACCUUCCAGAAUAGAAUAAGCUUUAAAAUGAUUUUGGCAGAAAAAGGGAGAGUAUGUAAAAUACUCCCAGACACCAUAACAUGCUGUACCUAUAUUCCAGACAAUACAGGCCCUAAUGGUAAGGUAACGUUGGCAAUAGAAAAGUUAAAGAGUUUGUCCAAUGAGCUGAAACGAAAUUCUGGGGCCACAGAUCCAUGGGAAAGAUGGUUUGGAUGGAUGACUGGAUGGCAAGGUGCUCUGGCCCAAAUAGGUGUUGCCAUUUUAAUAACGAUAAUCAUCCUCGCUCUUCUUGUUUGUUGUGUGUUACCCUGUCUUAAGAAAUGCCUACAAAAGACAGUUGAUCAGACAAUCGACCAGACCACCCCGACCUUCCUUCACCAAGAGAUUGACGACAUCGACCGUGAUACACCACAUACACCCUUACAGUCCCACCGCACUAAAUCAACAGCUACUUCCUCUUAAGGACAUUUAGGGAUAGCGUCUGUCUCUACGGGCAGAAGUCUGCCGCGGGAGAAGUAGUGGACAAGCUGCUAUGGGGUACCCGCGCAGUGAAGUGUUCGAGGCCUGUUCAGACAGAUGUGCAAGAUAGCCUUUUGUUAUUUUUCUAUAGGGACAGUAUUAGAAUGAGAGAUAGUAGUUUUAGUAAAAUUGCCAUUUUAAGGGGGGACUGUUAUGGACAGAUGAAUUAAAAUAAAAUGGCUAUUUACUAAUGUCUAUUUAUUCUGUGUUCACUAUGUUAAAACUGGCUGCUAGAGUAAAUAUUCCCUUCGCCCCCUACAAUGUGUUCAGUUGCUGUUUACUAUGUAAAUUCUUCAUCCUGAUAAGCAUCCCCCUUCAAAUCAAGCAAACCUUGUGUAAACAAAAUUCCUGUGUUAACAGCUCCCUUUACUAACUCCUCCCCCACUACCUUUGUGCCAGUUAAACAGCUAUAUGCCACGUAUAGCUAAAUGGAGGAUCAUUGGUUUAGAACUGAUAGAUACCACUCACUCCCCCUCCCAUCGUGUAUCCAAAAGUCUGUAAUGAUGACACUACAUUCUGUAGGGAGGUUUAAACAAGAGCCCCCUUUCUCUGUUAACCAAUUGGUGAAUGUAUACUGUAUGUUUAAACUGUGACGUAUUUUUGCUUUAAGAAGGAGCCCCCACUCCGGGGAAUAAAGCAUUCCUGAGUUUUUCACUGAUCAGAAACUUUGUCUCCGGUGUGAAUUACUUCUAGGGAAAGCGUGCACGCAUUAAUCAAUCAAUUUGGAAGGUGUAGAUAGACAAAUUAUCAAAGUUUUCUUUGGUCCAAAUCAGGGUGUCUUAACAACGCAUAAGAAUGUGUCCUACGUCUGCCUCUAUCCAAGAUAGCAGCCAUUCGGAAGGAGAUAAGGAGGAUCCUUUGUCAUCAUGCUAGACAUCAUGCGUUCAGCUUACUGGUCACGAGAACAUACUUUUUGCCAAUUUAUUUUUAAAAUAUAUAAUAUUAUGCUUCUUUUGCUUUGCUGUUGGAGCGUUAAAACAGCAAAUAUGAAACCUUCUGUCAUGUUAUAAAAUUGUAGAUUAUACUAGCUUUAGUGUAACUAUAAUCUUAAUUUUAUUAAUGACAGGAGGCGAAAAUUUCCCUGCCAGUUUCUCCCUUCCCUUAUCGUUGUUUGUUUUUAUUGACAUAUUUUUAGUGUUAGUCUAUUCUCAAGGAAGGUGGUAGACAGGUCUGGUAUUGUCUAUUUAGAGGAAGUCAGAGUGUGUUUUCUGGGAUGUUGUACUGUUAGUAAUUGAUUAUGGGUUUUCAUGUUUUUCCCAGUACAUUUCAUUCACUAAUCAGAGUUUCGAUUCUGUUUAUCUCGUUUCAGUUUAAUGGUUCCACUACAGGUCCGGUUUCCAGAUGUUCUGCAGGAUACAGUUCAAGGCUUCCUCUGCGGAUCCACUUUCGUUACGAGUUCGGAUGACAGUCAUUGACGAAUUUCGUUUGAUUCUUCUUCUAUUGUUAUUGUAUUAUAUCUUGUUCACGUACUUAGUUUUGUCGCAGGUUGAAAGAGGAAAUAGUUGGUUGGGAGGGGCCUUAUAUGGUUUCCUUACUUUUUUGUGAUUGUUUUUUUUCUCUCUAUGUUAAUGUGCUGCUGUGGAGUUCUAGUAAAGAGAGACUUAAG
RNAcentral lists this long non-coding RNA (7880 nucleotides) under Pelobates cultripes (western spadefoot toad). Lineage: Eukaryota; Metazoa; Chordata; Amphibia; Anura; Pelobatidae. The record is from RNAcentral.